Molecule: ribosomal RNA, 495 nt
Filed under: uncultured bacterium
Lineage: Bacteria
Description: partial 16S ribosomal RNA
Rfam family: Bacterial small subunit ribosomal RNA
Source: RNAcentral
GACGAACGCUGGCGGCGUGCCUAAUACAUGCAAGUAGAACGCUGAAGGAGGAGCUUGCUUCUCUGGAUGAGUUGCGAACGGGUGAGUAACGCGUAGGUAACCUGCCUGGUAGCGGGGGAUAACUAUUGGAAACGAUAGCUAAUACCGCAUAAGAGUAGAUGUCGCAUGACAUUUGCUUAAAAGGUGCAAUUGCAUCACUACCAGAUGGACCUGCGUUGUAUUAGCUAGUUGGUGAGGUAACGGCUCACCAAGGCAACGAUACAUAGCCGACCUGAGAGGGUGAGCGGCCACACUGGGACUGAGACACGGCCCAGACUCCUACGGGAGGCAGCAGUAGGGAAUCUUCGGCAAUGGACGGAAGUCUGACCGAGCAACGCCGCGUGAGUGAAGAAGGGUUUCGGAUCGUAAAGCUCUGUUGUAAGAGAAGAACGAGUGUGAGAGUGGAAAGUUCACACUGUGACGGUAUCUUACCAGAAAGGGACGGCUAACUACGUG